UGACCUCAAAUCAGGUAGGACUACCCGCUGAACUUAAG
RNAcentral lists this ribosomal RNA (38 nucleotides) under Amanita longistriata. Its description in RNAcentral is "partial 28S ribosomal RNA". The record is from RNAcentral. RNAcentral also lists the same sequence under 4 other names. Lineage: Eukaryota; Fungi; Basidiomycota; Agaricomycetes; Agaricales; Amanitaceae.